UUAAGUUCAGCGGGUAGUCCUACCUGAUUUGAGGUCAAGAUAUGAUGAAUAUGUCCCCCAAGAGGGACUGUUAGAAGCAUACUCUCGUGCGAUCCCCGACACGGCAUAGAUAAUUAUCAUACCGAGGGGCGUUCGAUCGGCUGAGGCAACGCUAACACAUUUAAAGGGAGCCGAUUGAACAACCGGCAAACCCUCACAUC
This 200-nucleotide unclassified non-coding RNA is filed under the name Agaricomycetes sp. RNAcentral describes it as "partial internal transcribed spacer 2". Lineage: Eukaryota; Fungi; Basidiomycota; Agaricomycetes. The record is from RNAcentral.